Molecule: non-coding RNA, 261 nt
Organism: Cajanus cajan (pigeon pea)
Lineage: Eukaryota; Viridiplantae; Streptophyta; Magnoliopsida; Fabales; Fabaceae
Source: RefSeq, a predicted model, not a curated record
CACUAGGCACACAAGUGUUGUGUCGAGUAGCAUCAUCGCGUUGCCAAGAGAUUAGACCUUGUUGGGUGCUACUGGUCCACAGAAUAAAUGUGAAGCAGCAAUCAGAUAAGGCUGAGAGAUAAGCCACAUUUUGUGCUCACACACUCACUCCACACUCGAUCCAUCACAAAAAUCACCCUACACUGAAACACAUACAUAAACAUAUCUAUUAUACUAUAUAUACACAUCCCUUUCCCACUUUGUCCAACAAAAAAAAAAAAU